Long non-coding RNA from Lynx canadensis (Canada lynx), 1548 nucleotides. RefSeq lists it as uncharacterized. The transcript has 5 exons. NCBI's taxonomy places the organism in Eukaryota, Metazoa, Chordata, Mammalia, Carnivora, Felidae. The record is from RefSeq and is a predicted model, not a curated record.
GGGGCCUUCAUCUCCCUGAAAGUUACAUUCAUUUAUUUCAUAUUGAUUUUACAAAUUUUAUGAAAAAUAACUGGUAACUCCAGGUUCAUCACCCACUAACAGUUCAUAAACCUGGACUGAUAGUUUAAUUCUGUUCCCUUCUAUUCAGUUAUGAACCUUCUACACAUUAGAAACUGUGGGGACAUAGAAAUAGGGUCUUCCACAAUUAGCAUAUAUAUCCUAGUGAGAGCAUAAGACAUAUAAAGAACAGCAUAAGCGAAAAUGACAUUCCAUCAGAAAAGUAUAAACAAGUGCUGUAAAUUUCAAAAGUGAGGGAGAUCACAUUUGCACUGGGGGUCAGGAGAAGUUUCUUAAAGAAGGUCACUAUCAAGAUAGACUUUGCAACACUGGAUUUUGGCAAACACAAGGGCAUGUACAGUAGAGGAUGCCAUACUGUAGAAAACAGCCAAGCUAAGGUCUGAGGACAGGCAAACAAGAGAGGUCUUCUGUGGGAAUGUCCUCCCCAAGGGGUGCAACAGGUGAACUCCACUUUUCCCACAUAUGCAGAAGAGAAGCCUGGUGAGAUGCAGGGAGGCGCUGUGACCAAGUUCUACUUCAGGAUCAUUUUCCGAACUCAUCAAGCCACUUUCACCAUGGGUUGUAGAUAGAUAGGAAAAUAAAAGUAGAUAAAGUUUGAAAACUACUGUGUAAACGGAAAGUGUAGGAUUUUUGUUUUUUUAAACAAUGGACUUUUAUCCUGUGGAGCGUCCUUCCUGAACCCUGAUUCUUGUGAGGGCCCAUGUCUCAGAUGUGAGCAGCACGUUGUAUUUCACUCACUACACUCAUUCUUUCUAUAGGAACCAUAGCAUUUACUCACUGCAUGAGUGUGAAGUAGGAAAGCUGAGUGAAGGAUAUCUUCAUGUACGCGAAGAUCUUGAUGUCCAUCUUAAUUAUAUUGAUGAAUGGCUAUUUUGUUUUUAAAGUGUCUGUUUCUGUAUCCAUGCCCAUUGUGACUGUCCUUUAUUUGCUGACCAAUGUGGCUUACAAUGUCAUCUUACAUAUGCCUUCUUUCCCGAAGCUGUUGCUAUGACAUUUGGUAAUAAGGUCAAAAGCCAUGUUCAGGGACUAAUUCCUAUUACAGUGGCCAUGGCUUGUGUCAGUGAACUGAACUCAAUCAGUCAUUACAGCAUCCAGAGCAUCUAACUGAUGGCAGCCAAAGCCUCUCAUUCUUCACACCCAGUUUUCAGGCUCCUUUAUGUGGGCCCAAAGGAAGGGCACCUUCCCUUUGGUUUAAGCAUGAUCCCUGUGGAAUGAUUCACACCGGUCCCUGCUCUUCUCUCCAAACUAAGACUCUUCUUUCCUGUAGUUUAUUGCUUGUGUACCCUCUCUAUGAGAUACAGUCAACUCCUUAAUUGGAAUUGGAAUUUAUCUGGAAUUCCUGCAUAUUUCUUAAGAGUAUAUUUAUCAGCAAAAAUGACCUUCAAAUUUACAAAGACUAUGGUAAGAAAACAAACUCAACUUUGUUUCCAUUGCACUCUGUGACUUGCAAUGCCAACCAUGUAAAUGGAA